GACGACGUAGCUCAGUUGGCAGAGCAUUGGGCUAGCAUUCCAAAGGUCGUAGGUUCGAUUCCCGCCGUGGUCA
This 73-nucleotide transfer RNA is filed under the name Paramuricea clavata. It matches the Rfam family "tRNA". Rfam says of the family: Transfer RNA (tRNA) molecules are approximately 80 nucleotides in length. Their secondary structure includes four short double-helical elements and three loops (D, anti-codon, and T loops). The record is from Rfam by way of RNAcentral. Lineage: Eukaryota; Metazoa; Cnidaria; Anthozoa; Malacalcyonacea; Plexauridae.